Long non-coding RNA from Capsella rubella, 392 nucleotides. RefSeq lists it as uncharacterized. Lineage: Eukaryota; Viridiplantae; Streptophyta; Magnoliopsida; Brassicales; Brassicaceae. The transcript is spliced from 2 exons. The record is from RefSeq and is a predicted model, not a curated record.
CUCAAAUCCUAAGUGUUUGAAAAAAUCAAAAAUCACAAGCAGUUCGUCGAGUACAACUAAGGACAACUUGAUUCUGGGAUAAGAGAAUGGUGCGUACAAAGAACACAAGCUUUAACAAAGAAUCAGAUCUAGUAGGUGAAAUCGAAAAGGCAACAGAUGCAAUCGUAGAAGAAAAUAGGACUCGUGGAGAUGAUUAUGAAGAAACAGAUUCAAAUCCGAAAUCAAAUUCUGGGGAUUCAACGAUAUGUACAACUUGGAUAGAAUAGUACAACUUGUGCGACCUCGGCAUAGCUAGUUUAUUUUCACUAAGAAAUUGAUUUAUUUUAUGUUGUGUUUUUGAAUCAUAUUAUAUGUGAACUCUUUAGAUAUGUUUGUGGUUUGUUGUUUUUUUU